GAUAAGUGUGUACCCAUAUAUAACUAUUUCAUGUUCGGGUGUGUGGAAAAAUAGUCUGAUCUACAUGCCCUAAUCGUUCCGUGUUCGAGGGAUAAUAGUGUUUGAAGGUACUAAUAUAUGUCGUUCUAUGUUCGAGUACAUGGAGAACCAGUGAUAACUACAUGUGCCUACGCAUAAUAUGUGGUAACUGAUUAAUCUUCCAUAAUAGUGAUGAAGUAUACAACAUGAACUGGUUUUCUCAUUUGUGCAUUCAUCUUCUGAUUCGUAUAUGUUUUGAAAAGAUUAUAU
RNAcentral lists this long non-coding RNA (288 nucleotides) under Carica papaya (papaya). Its description in RNAcentral is "long non-coding RNA (CPAP_LNC003325)". The record is from RNAcentral. Lineage: Eukaryota; Viridiplantae; Streptophyta; Magnoliopsida; Brassicales; Caricaceae.